CAAGUCGAGCGAGAGGAAGUAGCAAUACUUUAGUAAAGCGGCGCACGGGUGAGUAACACGUGGAUAACCUGCCUCGAAGUGGGGAAUAACCCCGGGAAACCGGAGCUAAUACCGCAUAAUCUGACGAGAUCUGUGGAUUUUGUCAGCAAAGGAGCAAUUCGCUUUGAGAGGGGUCCGCGGCUGAUUAGCUAGUUGGUGAGGUAAUGGCUCACCAAGGCCACGAUCAGUAGCCGGUCUGAGAGGACGGUCGGCCACACUGGAACUGAGACACGGUCCAGACUCCUACGGGAGGCAGCAGUGGGGAAUUUUUCGCAAUGGGGGCAACCCUGACGAAGCAACGCCGCGUGGGUGAUGAAGUAUUUCGGUACGUAAAACCCUUUCGACGGGGACGAAACCGCAAGGUUGACGGUACCCGUAGAAGAAGCCCCGGCUAACUCCGUGCCAGCAGCCGCGGUAAUACGGGGGGGGCAAGCGUUGUUCGGAAUUACUGGGCGUAAAGGGCGCGUAGGCGGUUUGCUAAGUUGGAUGUGAAAACUCUGGGCUUAACCCAGAGCCUGCAUCCAAAACUGGCAAACUUGAGUACUGGAGGGGAAAGCGGAAUUCCUGGUGUAGCGGUGAAAUGCGUAGAUAUCAGGAGGAACACCGGUGGCGAAGGCGGCUUUCUGGACAGUAACUGACGCUGAGGCGCGAAAGCUAGGGGAGCAAACAGGAUUAGAUACCCUGGUAGUCCUAGCCCUAAACGAUGGAUACUUGGUGUGAGGGGGAUUGAAUCCCUUCGUGCCGUAGCUAACGCAAUAAGUAU
Molecule: ribosomal RNA, 802 nt
Filed under: uncultured Bacillota bacterium
Lineage: Bacteria; Bacillati; Bacillota
Description: bacterial SSU rRNA
Rfam family: Bacterial small subunit ribosomal RNA
Source: RNAcentral